UGUGGUUGCUAUAGAGUAGAGGAUCCACCUGUUCCCAUUCCGAACACAGAAGUUAAGCUCUACAUCGCCGAUGAUACUUGGAGGGAAGCCUCCCGGGAAAGUAGGUCGCAGCCAACC
This 117-nucleotide ribosomal RNA is filed under the name Peptostreptococcaceae bacterium. Lineage: Bacteria; Bacillati; Bacillota; Clostridia; Peptostreptococcales; Peptostreptococcaceae. The record is from RNAcentral.